This 1329-nucleotide ribosomal RNA is filed under the name Triticum aestivum (bread wheat). RNAcentral's name for it is "partial small subunit ribosomal RNA". Lineage: Eukaryota; Viridiplantae; Streptophyta; Magnoliopsida; Poales; Poaceae. The record is from RNAcentral.
AUGCCUAUAAGAAGAGCCAGGCCAGCCGUGACUUUGAGAGCAUCAACUUGCCUAACAAAUCACAAGAUAAUGAGCGUUGUAGUGACCAAGUCCUCGCCGGCGGUGGUCGCCGGCCCUUUCGACGCCGGCAUCGUCCAUCUCUCCUCGUUCGACAGGUGCAUGGGCCCUACUGAGGUCACGCUGCUCCUCGUCUUCGACCAACCAAUCGACCAACCCGUCAAGACCAUCAAAAACGCCCUGUCGCAGGCGCUGGCGCACUAUCCCCCGAUGGCCGGCCGCCUCGCCGCCACCGGCGGCGACGGGGAGCUCCACAUCGCGUGCACCGGCGAGGGCGUGUCCUUCGUGGGCGCGUCAGCUAGCUGUGCCCUGGACGACGACGAUGUCACGAGAUCGGCGCUGCUCCACGGCGACCUCGCCGUCGGCUACCCCGCCGAAUACUGCAGCCUCAUCGACCCCUUGCUGCUGAUGCAGGUGACCGAGUUCUCCUGCGGCGGGUUCGCCGUGGGCGUGACGUGGAACCACGUCAUAGCCGACGCGGCGGGGAUGGCGCAGUUCCUGCAGGCCGUCGGCGAGCUCGCCCGGGGCGUGCCGCAGCUGGCCGUCGUUCCGGUCAGGUGUGAAGUCCAAGGCUCGCUGCCUUGCCUCCCGCCGCCGCUGGUGGCCGCCAUGAGGUCUCAUAUGCGCGUAGAAACCGAGGAACUGGCCACCUUGGACGUCACCAUCCCCACGAGCUUGAUCAACCGCAUAAAAUUCGAGUGUGGCGGCGACUGCACGACGUUCGAAGCCGUCGCCGCGGUGCUCUGGCGGUGCCGCACCCGCGCGGUCAUCUCCGACGGUGACCACGACGCCUCCGUGCCCCUCGCCUUCCCGAGCAACGUGCGAGAACUCGUCGGCGCCAGGGAAGGCUACUACGGCAACUGCAUCACCAUGCAGCUGGUCCAGGCGACAAGCGGCACGGUGGCGGGCGGCGAAAUCAAGGACCUGGUGAGGCUGAUCAAGCUCGCCAAAGAGAAGGUACCAGACAUAUUCCAAAAUAGCGGCGCCGACGGUGAGACCGGCUCCGGUGGUGAUAGAGAUCAGCAGCAGCUGGCGCCCCCGAGGUACAACACGCUUGGAGUAUCGAGCUGGAGGAACCUAGGAUUCGAAGCGGUGGAUUUUGGGCGUGGGAGUCCGGCGCGCGUGAUGUGGAAGGCGCACCCGACGGUGGGGCUCGUCUGCGUUCUGUGCCCGCCGUGCAAGGGGGAGCACGGCGUCACCGUCGUGUCCCGCUGCGUCAAGCCGAAGCAUGCCGACGCCUUCGUAGCGGAGUUGGCCGCCCUCGACGUAUAA